Molecule: transfer RNA, 73 nt
Filed under: Camelus bactrianus (Bactrian camel)
Lineage: Eukaryota; Metazoa; Chordata; Mammalia; Artiodactyla; Camelidae
Also listed under: 2 other names
Rfam family: tRNA
About the family: Transfer RNA (tRNA) molecules are approximately 80 nucleotides in length.
Source: Rfam by way of RNAcentral
GAGGGUAUAGCUCAAGUGGUAGAGCGCACGCUUAGCAUGCAGGAAGUCCUGGGUUCGAUCCCCAGUGCCUCCU